AUCAUCAUCAUCAUCAUCAUCAUUUUCUCCAACUCUGCUACCUGCUCCUGAACUUGCUUCUAAUGUCUGCAAAAAUCUCAGUCCUAAUGAGACCAUGUACACUCAAAACCUGUUUACAAAUAUUCAGAGCCUCCAUUGUAACCAUAAAAUAUUAAUAACAUGUAUAAUAUAUUACUAAUAAUUCAUGUCUGAGAAAUAAUGAAAAAAGCCCUACUUUCAUCCAUAGAACUCCUUACAUAUUUUCACAUCAAACAUUAUAUGUAUAUAUAUUUAUGCCAAGCUAAUUAACCAAUGAUACAUAAUAGCGGGUAAUCUUUCCUUCUAGCACCUGAUUUAGUGAUAGAAGACAGGACAUGACAUGAAGUAAAGGGCAUAUGUAGGAUCAUAACCUCUUUCUACUCAUUUUAUACCCUAAAAAAGAUCUGAGCUUUGCUUGAUCUCCUC
RNAcentral lists this unclassified non-coding RNA (444 nucleotides) under Hevea brasiliensis (rubber tree). The record is from RNAcentral. Lineage: Eukaryota; Viridiplantae; Streptophyta; Magnoliopsida; Malpighiales; Euphorbiaceae.